CAACGUUGAAGUUGACGCUGAUCUUGGUAAUACAUUUGCAGAGCGUGCUGAUCAUCAGACGUGGAUAAUGGUGGGGUUUUGUUUUUUAUCUAAGACAGGGUGUCUGUUCCCCAGGCUGGAGUGCGGUGGCACUUCCAACUUAGAUCUCUUGGGUUCAAGUGGCCCUCUUUUUGGGACAGAGUCUCACUCUGUGGCCCUGGCUGGAGUGCAGUGGCAGGAACUUGGCUCACUGCAAUCUCUGCCUCCUGGGUUCAAGCAAUUCUCCUGCCUCAGCCUCCGGAGCAGCUGGGGUUACAGGCUGUGCCACCAUGCCCAGCUAACUUUUGCAUUUUUAUUAUUGAUUUAUUGAUUUAUUUUUGAGACAGGGUCUGGCUCUGUCACCCAGGCUAUAGGGCAGUGGUGCGAUCUCGGCUCACUGCAACCUCCACCUCCCACCUCAGCCUCCUGAAUACCUGUCUCCAGGCAUGCACUACCACACCUGCCUAACUUUUGUAUUUUUUGUAUAGAUGAGGUUUCACCAUGUUGCCCAGGCUGGUCUCGGACCCUUGAGCUCAAUUGCUCCUCCCGCCUGGGCCUCCAAAACUGCUGUGAUUAAUGGUGUGAGCAAGCGUGCCCUACUCUUGUGUGUUUCUGCUCAAAUUUUAUGGAGGAGCUUUUACAUCCCAGCCUGUGGUCUAUCCUGGAGAAUGUUUGUGUGUGUGACAAUGUAUAUUCUUCAACAUUUUAGAUUCCAUUUGGAUGCUCCCAUCCGGACUGUGUGCCCCUGUACUGGAACUCAAGUGAACACUUGGCUCAACAUCCAUUGCUGUUCUCAUGAAUUCCAGGCCAAUUGUCUUGGUUAAAGACAAGACGGUGUUUCCCUCUUGUUGCCCAGGCUGGAGUGCAAUGGCAUGAUCUCGGAUCACUGCAACCUCCACCUCCCUGGUUCAAGCGAUUCUCCUGCCUCAGCCUCCCGAGCAGCUGGGAUUACAGGCAUGCAUCACCACGCCCGGCUAAUUCUUUGUAUUUUUAGUAGAGAUGGGAUUUCUCCAUGUUGGUCAGGCUGAUCUUGAACUCCCAACCUUAGGUGAUCCACCCACCUCGGCCUCCCAAAGUGCUGGGAUUACAGGCAUGAGCCAUUGUGCCCGGCCCAUUUCAUUUAUUUUUAUGUGUGCUGCUGAAGCAAGCACUUAUGUGUAGGAAUUGUUCUUCCUGUGAGCAUAUGUUGGCCAGCCUGGACCACAUACCAAGAUCCCAUCUCUUUAAAAACACAGAUUACGUGGCACCUGGCACCUGGUCCCAGAGACUUCAUUUGGGUUGGUCAUUUGAAACACUAGCCUCCCAUCAAUUUAGUGUAAUCAAUCCAAAUCAUGUGUCCUUCAUUAAGAGACUAAGAACGCCUCCACGUCUAUCCAGUCUAUUUUGUAAUCCCCAACGGUUGUCAAUAUUAAUAAAAUUUCUUUUCUUUUUCCUAUUCAUUUGUGUCUUUAGUUUUUCUUCCCCAAAAACUUGCCAUCAUUUCUCGGAAUAGACCUGCUUUCUCUGCAGGAAGGGUGUGGUUGAUUCAACCCUUACCCACUAAUGCCAACCCCAG
RNAcentral lists this long non-coding RNA (1573 nucleotides) under Homo sapiens (human). RNAcentral's name for it is "PREDICTED lncRNA (TCONS_00135922)". The record is from RNAcentral. Lineage: Eukaryota; Metazoa; Chordata; Mammalia; Primates; Hominidae.